This 1810-nucleotide long non-coding RNA is filed under the name Citrus x clementina. RNAcentral's name for it is "Citrus clementina (C. clementina) long non-coding RNA (CCLE_LNC005892)". Lineage: Eukaryota; Viridiplantae; Streptophyta; Magnoliopsida; Sapindales; Rutaceae. The record is from RNAcentral.
CGUGUGGGCUAUAGCCUUGGUGGGGGGCGUGGGCGAAGUUUGUCCGCCGGACUCGGAAUGGCCCCAGACUUUGCGGGCGGACUCCGUGUGCCAAAAAUAGGCCACGGGCACAGCCGCGCCCAAAAAUGAGCGCCCGAAGGUCGGGGCGCCAACACCCCCCAGCGGAAAAAUGGCAAAGAAACGGGUGUGCUAUAGCCUUGGUGGGGGGCGUGGGCGAAGUUCGUCCGCCGGACUCGGAAUGGCCCAAGACUUUGCGGGCGGCCUCCGUGUGCCAAAAAUAGGCCACGGGCGCAGCCGCGCCCAAAAAUGAGCGCCCGAAGGUCGGGGCGCCAACACCCCCCAGCGGAAAAAUGCCCAAAAAACGGGUGGGGCUAUAGCCCUGGCGGGGGGCGUGGGCGAAGUUCGUCCGCCGGACUCGGAAUGGCCCCAGACUUUGCGGGCAGCUUCCGUGUGCCAAAAAUAGGCCACGGGUACAGCCGCGCCAAAAAAUGAGCGCCCGAAGGUCGGGGCGCCAACACCCCCCAGCGGAAAAAUGGCCAAAAAACGGGUGGGCUAUAGCCUUGGUGGGGCCCGUGGGCGACGUUCGUCCGCCGGACUCGGAAUGGCCCCAGACAUUGCGGGCGGCCUCCGUGUACCAAAAAUAGGCCACGGGCAGAGCCGCGCCCAACAAUGAGCUCCCGAAGGUCGGGGCGCCAACACCCCCCAGCGGAAAAAUGGCCAAAAAACGGGUGGGCUAUAGCCUUGGCGGGGGGCAUGGGCGAAGUUCGUCCGCCGAACUCGAAAUGGCCCCAGACUUUGCGGGCGGCCUCCGUGUGCCAAAAUUAGGCCACGGGCACAGCCGCGCCCGAAGGUCGGGGCGCCAACACCCCCCAGCGGAAAAAUGGCCAAAAAACGGGUGGGCUAUAGCCUUGGCGGGGGGCAUGGGCGAAGUUCGUCCGCCGAACUCGGAAUGGCCCCAGAGUUUGCGGGCGGCCUCCGUGUGCCAAAAAUAGGCCACGGGCACAGCCGUGCCCAAAAAUGAGCGCCCAAAGGUCGGGGCGCCAACAGCCCCCAGCGGAAAAAUGGCCAAGAAACGGGUGUGCUAUAGCCUUGGUGGGGGGCGUGGGCGAAGUUCGUCCGGUGGACUCGGAAUGGCCCCAGACUUUGUGGGCGGCCUCCGUGUGCCAAAAAUAAGCCACGGGCACUGCCACGCCCAAAAAUGAGCGCCCGAAGGUCGGGGCACCAACACCCCCCAGCGGAAAAAUGGCCCAAAAACGGGUGGGCUGUAGCCUUGGUGGGGGGCGCGGGCGAAGUUCGUCCGCCGGACUCGGAAUGCGGCGAGACUUUGCGAGGGGCCUCGGGGUGCCAAAAAUAAGCCGCGGGCAAAGCCGCACCCAAAAAUAAGCGCCCGAAGGUCGUGGUGCCAAAACCCCCCAGCGGAGAAACGGCCAAAAAACGGGUGUGCUAUAGCCUUGGUGGGGGGCGUGGGCGAUGUUCGUCCGCCGGACUCGGAAUGGCCCCAGCCUUUGCGGGCGACCUCCGUUUUCCAAAAAUAGGCCACGGGCACAGCCGCGCCCAAAAAUGAGCAUCCGAAGGUUGGGGCGCCAACACCCCCCAGCGGAAAAAUGGCCAAAAAACGUGUGGGCUAUAGCCUUGGUGGGGGGCGUGGGCGAAGUUCGUCCGCCGGACUCGGAAUGGCCCCAGACUUUGCGGGCGGACUCCGUGUGCCAAAAAUAGGCCACGGGCACAGCCGCGCCCAAAAAUGAGCGCCCGAAGGUCGGGGCGCCAACACCCCCCAGCGGAAAAAUGGCAAAGAAACGGGUGUGCUAUA